This 420-nucleotide long non-coding RNA is filed under the name Nicotiana benthamiana. RNAcentral's name for it is "long non-coding RNA (NBEN_LNC041124)". Lineage: Eukaryota; Viridiplantae; Streptophyta; Magnoliopsida; Solanales; Solanaceae. The record is from RNAcentral.
UGUAUAAUAAGAUUACACUUAUUUUAAAUUUACUUAUGCUUGGAAGUGUGCUGUCGACCUUGAGCCAAAAUCUCUUUUAGUUAAUAUACCUUAGCCAUCUUCUAGCUAGCUGAUCUGAAAUAUCAAUUUAGAAUUUAAAUUCUGUGAGUUCAACUUUUAAGAUUUUCAUUAAACUCAUUAUAUUUUUAAAGUUAAGGAUUUUGUAUAUAUUACUUUUGAAAUUUUAAUCAAUUUUUACAUAUAAAAUCUGGCUUUAUCCUUAUUCUUUCCGCGAUAAAAAAACAUUAGAUCUUAUUACGUGGUAGGAAGAGAUCGAUGGUCUGAGUAUGUUUCACAUGCUUUGAUCAUAUUAAUCUGGUACAGCGAAUUCCCUUGUGAGCUAUCACCAAAUGCUCCAGACUCUCUUUAUCUGAUUCCCUC